RNAcentral lists this ribosomal RNA (1400 nucleotides) under Staphylococcus sp. UA-VH0247. RNAcentral describes it as "bacterial SSU rRNA". It matches the Rfam family "Bacterial small subunit ribosomal RNA". The record is from RNAcentral. Lineage: Bacteria; Bacillati; Bacillota; Bacilli; Caryophanales; Staphylococcaceae.
GAGCGAACAGAUAAGGAGCUUGCUCCUUUGACGUUAGCGGCGGACGGGUGAGUAACACGUGGGUAACCUACCUAUAAGACUGGGAUAACUUCGGGAAACCGGAGCUAAUACCGGAUAACAUUUGGAACCGCAUGGUUCUAAAGUGAAAGAUGGUUUUGCUAUCACUUAUAGAUGGACCCGCGCCGUAUUAGCUAGUUGGUAAGGUAACGGCUUACCAAGGCGACGAUACGUAGCCGACCUGAGAGGGUGAUCGGCCACACUGGAACUGAGACACGGUCCAGACUCCUACGGGAGGCAGCAGUAGGGAAUCUUCCGCAAUGGGCGAAAGCCUGACGGAGCAACGCCGCGUGAGUGAUGAAGGGUUUCGGCUCGUAAAACUCUGUUAUUAGGGAAGAACAAAUGUGUAAGUAACUGUGCACGUCUUGACGGUACCUAAUCAGAAAGCCACGGCUAACUACGUGCCAGCAGCCGCGGUAAUACGUAGGUGGCAAGCGUUAUCCGGAAUUAUUGGGCGUAAAGCGCGCGUAGGCGGUUUCUUAAGUCUGAUGUGAAAGCCCACGGCUCAACCGUGGAGGGUCAUUGGAAACUGGGAAACUUGAGUGCAGAAGAGGAAAGUGGAAUUCCAUGUGUAGCGGUGAAAUGCGCAGAGAUAUGGAGGAACACCAGUGGCGAAGGCGACUUUCUGGUCUGUAACUGACGCUGAUGUGCGAAAGCGUGGGGAUCAAACAGGAUUAGAUACCCUGGUAGUCCACGCCGUAAACGAUGAGUGCUAAGUGUUAGGGGGUUUCCGCCCCUUAGUGCUGCAGCUAACGCAUUAAGCACUCCGCCUGGGGAGUACGACCGCAAGGUUGAAACUCAAAGGAAUUGACGGGGACCCGCACAAGCGGUGGAGCAUGUGGUUUAAUUCGAAGCAACGCGAAGAACCUUACCAAAUCUUGACAUCCUUUGAAAACUCUAGAGAUAGAGCCUUCCCCUUCGGGGGACAAAGUGACAGGUGGUGCAUGGUUGUCGUCAGCUCGUGUCGUGAGAUGUUGGGUUAAGUCCCGCAACGAGCGCAACCCUUAAGCUUAGUUGCCAUCAUUAAGUUGGGCACUCUAGGUUGACUGCCGGUGACAAACCGGAGGAAGGUGGGGAUGACGUCAAAUCAUCAUGCCCCUUAUGAUUUGGGCUACACACGUGCUACAAUGGACAAUACAAAGGGCAGCUAAACCGCGAGGUCAUGCAAAUCCCAUAAAGUUGUUCUCAGUUCGGAUUGUAGUCUGCAACUCGACUACAUGAAGCUGGAAUCGCUAGUAAUCGUAGAUCAGCAUGCUACGGUGAAUACGUUCCCGGGUCUUGUACACACCGCCCGUCACACCACGAGAGUUUGUAACACCCGAAGCCGGUGGAGUAACCAUUUA